UCUUGGACAACUGGGGGCAACCCUGAUCCAGCCAUGCCGCGUGAGUGAUGAAGGCCUUAGGGUCGUAAAGCUCUUUCGCCUGUGAAGAUAAUGACGGUACCUGGUAAAGAAACCCCGGCUAACUCCGUGCCAGCAGCCGCGGUAAUACGGAGGGGGUUAGCGUUGUUCGGAAUUACUGGGCGUAAAGCGCACGUAGGCGGACUGGAAAGUUGGGGGUGAAAUCCCAGGGCUCAACCCUGGAACUGCCUCCAAAACUGUCAGUCUAGAGUUCGAGAGAGGUGAGUGGAAUUCCGAGUGUAGAGGUGAAAUUCGUAGAUAUUCGGAGGAACACCAGUGGCGAAGGCGGCUCACUGGCUCGAUACUGACGCUGAGGUGCGAAAGUGUGGGGAGCAAACAGGAUUAGAAC
Molecule: ribosomal RNA, 406 nt
Filed under: uncultured Agrobacterium sp.
Lineage: Bacteria; Pseudomonadati; Pseudomonadota; Alphaproteobacteria; Hyphomicrobiales; Rhizobiaceae
Description: bacterial SSU rRNA
Rfam family: Bacterial small subunit ribosomal RNA
Source: RNAcentral